CGGAUUUAUUGGGUUUAAAGGGUGCGUAGGCGGUGGAUUAAGUCAGUGGUGAAAGACGAUCGCUCAACGAUUGCAGUGCCAUUGAUACUGGUUCACUUGAGUAGUGCAGAGGUGGCCGGAAUUGAUCGUGUAGCGGUGAAAUGCAUAGAUAUGAUCAAGAACGCCGAUUGCGAAGGCAAGUCACACGACACGCAAGAACACUGACGCACGAAAGCGUAACGAGCAAACAACAUAACAUACACAGGAAGACAACAGCGGGAAACUGAUGAUAACACGCCGUAGGACCCUGAGGUCAGCGGCAUAGGGAAAAAGUGAAAGAAGCAACCUGGGGAG
RNAcentral lists this ribosomal RNA (333 nucleotides) under Siphonobacter intestinalis. Its description in RNAcentral is "bacterial SSU rRNA". It matches the Rfam family "Bacterial small subunit ribosomal RNA", at positions 546 to 880 of the family's 1533-position model. Lineage: Bacteria; Pseudomonadati; Bacteroidota; Cytophagia; Cytophagales; Cytophagaceae. The record is from RNAcentral.